UUGGUAAAAAUGACGAAAGUGUUUGGUUCUGCGACAUAACAUUCAGUUGGGUGGUGGGAUAUCCACGGACAAAUUUUACUGAGGGUACUACGAGCGUCUUCGUUGACAUGCGAAUAACGGUGUCAGGAAAAGAAGUCAAACGUGUCUUCGAUAUCAUAGAAGCGGAACGAUACGAUGUUGUAUACCUGCCGGGAUACUUACUGAGGGAUGUAUGCAGUCGUCCUGAUUUGUCAGAUAAAUUAAUAUUCGUGAAAAGCUUUGUGUUGUCAGGCGAACGUAUUUCUCGUUCAGCGGAGACCGAGUUGCAAAAUAUCGCUCCUACAGCUUCACUCCACUCCUACUAUGGAACCACAGAGACGGGCGGCACUGCUUCGUAUACAAUGACGGAUCCCUCACAGUGGGAAGAUGGCAUUAUUGGUUCGCCGUUCCGGGGUGUUGAGAUGAAACUAGUGGAUGACAAUUGGUGUGAAGUACCAAAAGGUUAAUCCGGCGAAUUGCUUGUCCGCUGUGCAUGGCGGUUUAGAGGGUAUAAGACCAAAGAAUUCGGAGUUGAUGACCUAAACUGUUUUCACACCGGCGACGUAGCCUUUCUUCGAGACAACUAUCAGUUGGUUAUAAACGGCCGUAAAAAGGAACUUAUCUCGAUUGGCACAUCGAAGUUCUUACCUUGGCAAAUUGAACGAUCUGAAGGCAUAAAAAUAGGUCUAUUGCUGUGGUAGUUGUGGUCGAUAGCUGCCAAUAGGUUGCGGAUUCUGUACACAGGCGGUGUAUAUGCAAACCUCUUUGCACAGUACAUCAAAAUUAACUGGUGGAACACUUCUAUGUCAGCAGUGGUUCUGAAAUAAUAGGACACAAUUAUAAACUUUUGAAAAUGUUUCCAUGUUGGCUUUAUUGAAUUCCUGAUGAGCAUCACAUAAAGUUAAAAAUACAAAAAAAUAUAUUGAAAAACUAACAUAAACAAAUUACCUGUAAU
This is an RNA transcript of Dreissena polymorpha, 973 nucleotides long. RefSeq lists it as uncharacterized. The transcript is spliced from 3 exons. Lineage: Eukaryota; Metazoa; Mollusca; Bivalvia; Myida; Dreissenidae. The record is from RefSeq and is a predicted model, not a curated record.